This 45-nucleotide non-coding RNA is filed under the name Trichobilharzia regenti. Lineage: Eukaryota; Metazoa; Platyhelminthes; Trematoda; Strigeidida; Schistosomatidae. The record is from RNAcentral.
AUCCAGAUGACGAGUACCAAAUUGGACGAAAUGCGCAUCCUGGAU